This 443-nucleotide ribosomal RNA is filed under the name uncultured bacterium. Its description in RNAcentral is "partial 16S ribosomal RNA". It matches the Rfam family "Bacterial small subunit ribosomal RNA", at positions 338 to 795 of the family's 1533-position model. The record is from RNAcentral.
CCUACGGGUGGCAGCAGUGGGGAAUAUUGGGCAAUGGGCGCAAGCCUGACCCAGCAACGCCGCGUGAAGGAAGAAGGCUUUCGGGUUGUAAACUUCUUUUAUCAGGGACGAAGCAAGUGGCGGUACCUGAUGAAUAAGCCACGGCUAACUACGGGCCAGCAGCCGCGGUAAUACGUAGGGGGCAAGCGUUAUCCGGAUUUACUGGGUGUAAAGGGCGUGUAGGCGGGAAAGCAAGUCAGAUGUGAAAACCAUGGGCUCAACCUGUGGCCUGCAUUUGAAACUGUCUUUCUUGAGUACUGGAGAGGCAGACGGAAGUCCUAGUGUAGCGGUGAAAUGCGUAGAUAUUAGGAGGAACACCAGUGGCGAAGGCGGUCUGCUGGACAGCAACUGACGCUGAGGCGCGAAAGCGUGGGGAGCAAACAGGAUUAGAUACCCGGGUAGUC